Molecule: non-coding RNA, 77 nt
Organism: Podarcis lilfordi (Lilford's wall lizard)
Lineage: Eukaryota; Metazoa; Chordata; Lepidosauria; Squamata; Lacertidae
Source: the annotation of a GenBank genome assembly
GGAAAGUGCCAUAGCUUAGUGGAAGAGCAUCUGUUGUUCCUGCAGAAGGUACCAGGUUUAAUCCUUGGCACUUUCCA